UUUCUCAACUUGAAGUGAGUCUGGCCUUGGUCUGCAUCUGUGCUCUCCCCUUCACAAAAGGCAGGCCCAGAGAGACUCCAGAGAUGGACCCUGUCUCCUGUGUGUCCUCCGCCACUGUGUCCACUUGGGCACGUCAAAGGGUCCAGUCUACAAGGAGUUAUUUCAGAGAUAGCAAUGCACUUUGUCUAGCCUCAGGGCUAUGCUACAUACCCUUCUGUCUGCCGUAAUCUUACCUGCAGAGACUUUAAGCCUCCUGACAUCCCACAGAAUAUCACAUUGAUUCAUUACAUCGGUGCCAUGUUGCUGAAUGGACCCAAUGAGCAGGAAGUGGAGGCCUUGAUGUGCAGACGUGAUGGGGCAACGAUGAGACCGAAUAAACAAUUGACAUCUAACCGCAGAAGAAGAGCAAGGACCUGGGACCCAGAAGGAAGAGGCUGUGAGAGGUACAAACUGCAGGCAUGGACAUGAUGCGUAUAGAGGACAGCCACACUAAGCUUUGAGGCUUCUGGAGGCAACACAGAGUAACCAUUUGAAUGGAAAUCACUGAACAGACACAGAGAAAGAGAAACCAUCCAAUGACUUGAGGGUGACACCAAGUUUGCCUGGUGGCCUCAGGACUCCUGGCUCACUGGUCCCACUGUCUCCCCCCGCCCAUCAGAAUACAUGAAGGCUGGUGGGGCACGGUGGCCCAUGUCUGUAAUCCCAACACUUUGAGGGGCCAAGGCGGGCAGAUCACCUGAGUUCGAGACCAGCCUGGCCAACAUGGUGAAACCUCGGCUCUACUAAAAAUACAAAAUUAGCUGAGUGUGGUGGCACAUGCCUGUAAUCCCAGCUACUCGGGAGGCUGAGGCAGGAGAAUCACUUGAACCCAGGAGGCUGAGGUUGCAGUGAGCUGGGAUCAUGCCACUGCACUCCAGCCUGGCGACAGAGUGAGACUCCAUCUCC
Molecule: long non-coding RNA, 945 nt
Organism: Pan troglodytes (chimpanzee)
Lineage: Eukaryota; Metazoa; Chordata; Mammalia; Primates; Hominidae
Exons: 3
Source: RefSeq, a predicted model, not a curated record